GACGAACCGUGCAAACGUUGUUCGGAAUCACUGGGCUUAAAGGGCGCGUAGGCGGCCGAGCGGGUCGUGGGUGAAAUCCCCCAGCUCAACUGGGGAAGUGCUUACGAUACCACUGCGGCUGGAGGAAGGAAGGGGCAGCGGGAACUGUCGGUGGAGCGGUGAAAUGCGUUGAUAUCGAUAGGAACUCCGGUGGCGAAGGCGGCAUACUGGUCCACUUCUGACGCUGAGGCGCGAAAGCCAGGGGAGCAAACGGG
RNAcentral lists this ribosomal RNA (254 nucleotides) under uncultured prokaryote. Its description in RNAcentral is "partial 16S ribosomal RNA". It matches the Rfam family "Bacterial small subunit ribosomal RNA", at positions 524 to 776 of the family's 1533-position model. The record is from RNAcentral.